GGGCAAAAUUAAAUUACUAGAAGUUGUUUGGAGAAACAAUUGGUUAAUGAACCUAUCUGUAGAUGCAGAUGGGUUGGCCGAUCAAAGUCGGGCUUAUGUGUAGUCUAUGUGGAUUCUAGUACCUACUAGAAAAUUAAAGUAAUUUUUUGAAUUGGAGGUAGAGGCUAUCAAUUUGAAUAAAAUAGUGGAAGAACCUUAAGACUAAAAUUCAAGUCUCUAGGCUUAAAAUAAUUCAUAUACAUUAGGUCAUUAUUCUCUUUUCUCAAAAUAAGGCUAAACCUUAAUUGCUCCAAUCACUGUUAGACAGU
Molecule: long non-coding RNA, 308 nt
Filed under: Elaeis guineensis (African oil palm)
Lineage: Eukaryota; Viridiplantae; Streptophyta; Magnoliopsida; Arecales; Arecaceae
Description: long non-coding RNA (EGUI_LNC058293)
Source: RNAcentral